GAUGAACGCUAGCGGCAGGCUUAAUACAUGCAAGUCGAACGGCCCCGACACUUCGGUGUCGGGGUAGUGGCGCACGGGUGCGUAACGCGUACACAACAUACCCUUUACAGGGGGAUAGCGGCGGGAAACUGCCAGUAAUACCCCAUGUCCUUGCGAGGUGGCAUCAUUUUGCAAAGAAAGUUCAAGCGGUAAAGGAUUGGUGUGCGUCCGAUUAGCUAGUUGGCGGGGUAACGGCCCACCAAGGCGACGAUCGGUAGGGGGUGUGAGAGCAUGGCCCCCCACACGGUACGUNAGACACGGACCCGGACCUCUACCGGGAGGGCAGC
This 326-nucleotide ribosomal RNA is filed under the name uncultured bacterium. Its description in RNAcentral is "bacterial SSU rRNA". It matches the Rfam family "Bacterial small subunit ribosomal RNA", at positions 28 to 352 of the family's 1533-position model. The record is from RNAcentral.